This 378-nucleotide unclassified non-coding RNA is filed under the name uncultured bacterium. RNAcentral's name for it is "contains 16S-23S intergenic spacer region". The record is from RNAcentral.
UCCGAUUUGUCACCGGCAGUCUCCCUAGAGUCCCCGACCGAAUCGCUGGCAACUAAGGGCAAGGGUUGCGCUCGUUACGGGACUUAACCCAACAUCUCACAACACGAGCUGACGACAGCCAUGCAGCACCUGUGUGGACGCCAGCCGAACUGAAGGACCCGAUCUCUCGAGCCCAUACGUCCCAUGUCAAGGGUUGGUAAGGUUCUGCGCGUUGCUUCGAAUUAAACCACAUGCUCCACCGCUUGUGCGGGCCCCCGUCAAUUCCUUUGAGUUUCACCGUUGCCGGCGUACUCCCCAGGUGGAUUACUUAUCGCUUUCGCUAAGCCGCGUACUGUAUAUCGCACACAGCGAGUAAUCAACGUUUACAGUGUGGACUAC